This 310-nucleotide ribosomal RNA is filed under the name Bacillus sp. B1-WWTP-T-0.5-Post-4. RNAcentral's name for it is "bacterial SSU rRNA". It matches the Rfam family "Bacterial small subunit ribosomal RNA", at positions 1 to 298 of the family's 1533-position model. The record is from RNAcentral. Lineage: Bacteria; Bacillati; Bacillota; Bacilli; Caryophanales; Bacillaceae.
UUUAUUGGAGAGUUUGAUCCUGGCUCAGGAUGAACGCUGGCGGCGUGCCUAAUACAUGCAAGUCGAGCGAAUGGAUUAAGAGCUUGCUCUUAUGAAGUUAGCGGCGGACGGGUGAGUAACACGUGGGUAACCUGCCCAUAAGACUGGGAUAACUCCGGGAAACCGGGGCUAAUACCGGAUAAUAUUUUGAACUGCAUGGUUCAAAAUUGAAAGGCGGCUUCGGCUGUCACUUAUGGAUGGACCCGCGUCGCAUUAGCUAGUUGGUGAGGUAACGGCUCACCAAGGCAACGAUGCGUAGCCGACCUGAGAG